RNAcentral lists this ribosomal RNA (397 nucleotides) under uncultured bacterium. RNAcentral's name for it is "partial 16S ribosomal RNA". It matches the Rfam family "Bacterial small subunit ribosomal RNA", at positions 523 to 918 of the family's 1533-position model. The record is from RNAcentral.
AUACGUAGGGGGCGAGCGUUGUCCGGAAUUACUGGGCGUAAAGGGUGCGUAGGUGGCACUUUAAGUUGGAUGUGAAAUCCCCGUGCUUAACAUGGGAGCUGCAUCCAAUACUGGAGAGCUAGAGUGCAGGAGAGGUAAGCGGAAUUCCUAGUGUAGCGGUGAAAUGCGUAGAUAUUAGGAGGAACACCAGUGGCGAAGGCGGCUUACUGGACUGUAACUGACACUGAGGCACGAAAGUGUGGGGAGCAAACAGGAUUAGAUACCCUGGUAGUCCACGCUGUAAACGAUGAAUACUAGGUGUAGGGGGUAUCAACUCCCUCUGUGCCGCAGCAAACGCAAUAAGUAUUCCGCCUGGGGAGUACGGCCGCAAGGUUGAAACUCAAAGGAAUUGACGGGG